Molecule: transfer RNA, 86 nt
Filed under: Acetobacter vaccinii
Lineage: Bacteria; Pseudomonadati; Pseudomonadota; Alphaproteobacteria; Acetobacterales; Acetobacteraceae
Description: Acetobacter sp. KACC 21233 tRNA-Leu
Rfam family: tRNA
About the family: Transfer RNA (tRNA) molecules are approximately 80 nucleotides in length. Their secondary structure includes four short double-helical elements and three loops (D, anti-codon, and T loops).
Source: RNAcentral
GCGAACUUGGCGGAAUGGUAGACGCAGGAGACUUAAAAUCUCCAACCUUCAAUGGUGUGCGGGUUCGAGUCCCGCAGUUCGCACCA